This is a long non-coding RNA of Carassius gibelio (silver crucian carp), 5921 nucleotides long. RefSeq lists it as uncharacterized. NCBI's taxonomy places the organism in Eukaryota, Metazoa, Chordata, Actinopteri, Cypriniformes, Cyprinidae. The record is from RefSeq and is a predicted model, not a curated record. The transcript is spliced from 5 exons.
GCAGUUCAAUUCCAGGCUGCAGCAAAAUCAGAUUGUGCAGAAGAAUCAUCUGUUUCUUGUGGUUUUGUCCUGGUGGUCGUCUGAGACAAGGUCUUUACAGGGGAUCUGUAUCUUGGGCUCUAGUUUUCCUGGUCUCCGCUGUCUUUCAGGGAUGUAGAGGUGACCCUCUGAUCUGGAUACAGACUGGAUCUGGUGGCUACGGUGACCUCGGAAUAAGAGAGAAACAGACUAAUAUUAGCGUAGAGGCCAUUCUUCUAAUGAUGAAGCAAGUACAUCGGGUGGUAUGGGAAGUGUUCCCGGUUCCGGUUUACCUAAUUAAUGCAGCCUAAAAAUCCUUUGGAUAUUUGGAUAUUAAAAGCAUAUUAGUAUGUUAUGUGUAAGCCAGGUUAAAGAGAUCUAGGUCUUAUUCUAGAUUUAAACUGCAUUAUUAUCAAACUGCCUGAGUUUUGAGAACGUAGCGGACGUAGAGGAUUAUAAUGUAAAAGGAGCUAAUUCAAAUAGUGAGGUGCUAAACCAUUCAGGGCUUUAUAAGUAAUAAGCAAUAUUUUAAAAUCUAUACGAUGUAUGAUAGGGAGCCAGUGCGGUGUUGACAGGACCGGGCUAAUAUGGUCAUACUUCCUGGUUCUAGUAAGAUCUCUUGCUGCUGCAUUUUGGACUAGCUGUAGUUUGUUUACUAAGCGUGCAGAACAACCACCCAAUAAAGCAUUACAAUAAUCUAACCUUGAGGUCAUAAAUUCAUGGAUUAACAUUCCUGUAUUUGACAUUUAGAGCAUAGGUCAUAAUUUAGAUAUAUUUUGAGAUGUAAAAAUGCAGUUUUACAAAUGCUAGAAACAUGGCUUUCUAAGGAAAGAUUGCGAUCAAAUUGCACACCUAGGUUCCUAACUGAUUAAAGCUAAAGCUCUGCUUUUUUUUAAGCUCUACUUUACUUUUACUUUUUUAUGUUCUAUAAAAUAGACAGCAACGAUAUAAAAGUAAUAUGAGUUAUAAUGUUAAUAAUAUUUGAGUAAGAAUGUUUAUACAAAAUUUUACUAUAGGUUCUGCUCGCGAAUAACUUUAUAGUGUGCUUAAUAAUAAUUCAUCUUUAGCUUCUGUUUGUGAACAUCUGCUCUGGUGUAAAUGUGUUAAAAAAAUGUAUACUCUGUCAUUGGCAUUGAUGAUCAUCUGAGGGCUAAAUGUAUCAAGCAAGCUGUAAAUGAGUGUUCCAUCGAAAGACAUGUGUAUAUACACGCAUCCUUUCUUAUCAGUGAUGCAAUUUAUUAUCAGCUGUGCAUCUUCUGGUAAUUGCUAACAACUGUUACGAUUUUCACUUAGGACUGUGGCUGCAUCACUGGCAUAAUUACACAAGAAAGUCACACGUGUCGUUCAGUUUUGAGUUUACUGGAAAAUCAUACUAAGUGCACAGUACAGUAAUUGUACUUUUAUUAUGCAUAGACUAUAUGAUAAUAUUAUUUGUGGUUAGUGUUAAAAUGUAGUUUCUUUGUUAUUGGCACUGUAUGGGAAAAAAUGCUAACAAUUGUUUUUAAAAUUAUUUUAGGACUGAAUACACCACUCUUGCCUUUACCUGCAUCUCUCACAGGAAGGAGACGCUCAUUCAGUUUUCAGCUCUAUUGAGAAUCUUAGAAGGUGCAAGGCUACUUCUCCCACUUGAACAUAUGCCACUAUGGAGCUUUUGAAAGAUAUAGUUGGAAAAGCUAUGCCAUCACUCAGCAAUGAGCUGUUGGAUUCACUUAUGGCUAGACUGGAGAUGAUUGGAGUAAAUGGUGUAGAUGACCUUUGCUUUGUCAAGAUUGAGGACGUCGAUGGAAUUCUGCCACAGAUUUAGUGUAGAAGACUAAUUCAACCUUUCAGUUCAGGGUCAGAAGCUGUUCUUGGCUGCGAUUCUACACCUCCUCAUCAGGAUAUCCAUGUGCCCCAAACACCAUCUCUGACACAAAGUUACAUAGAGUGUUCCACAACCCAAGAGGUUUAUGUUGUACCAUGGCACAAAUUGCCCUCAAACCUCAUGCUUGUUCUAAGUGAAAAGAAAAGGCCAAAGCCCAGUGAGAGAAGAGAACUAAUUCGCAUCGUCAUUGAUGAUCUACUCCAUAAAGAGAAUGGAAGGCCUGGAAGAGCAAAGCUGUGGCACGUUGCAAAGCAGAUUGUAGACAAAUAUCCCUGCUCUUUCCAAGACCGAGAGCUAAAUGGAACAAAAGUCAUUGGAACAGGAUUUGAUGCUCUCUUUAUACACCUUGAAAACAGAGUUGAAAAUGUUCGGAGACCCUUAACCAUCAGCGCAAAAAGGCCAGCAGAGGAUGGAGAUGUGGUGUGGAAAAAAUCCACACAUUCAGAUCGUUAUGGAUGUGUGGAGUGGCAGCCUGCUAUUGAAGGUAGAGAUGAACUAAAAUCUAAACAAGAUGAAUUAAAACGUGCCUUUACAUCCCGUGAUCUUCGGGAGUCUUGCAUUAGAAAAAUGAUGAGUGAAACCUAUUGCAUCCAGCGUGCAACCAUCAACAAAGGAAACAUUGUAAAAACUGUAAAGGAAGAGUGGCCUUUCCUUUUUGAAGCUGUUCACCUGUUUGAUCACACAUGUUCACUCCUUGGCUUUCCAAUGCAAAUGAAGCUGCCUGAGGAAUUAACAAAAAAAAAGGAAAUACCAUCAAAGACUUCCUUAAUUCAAAAGGGAUGAAGAUUUAACUCUGUGAUGAUCCAGUACAGCUGAUCUCUGGUAUUGCCAAAUAUUUUAAGGAAACCCCUGAUCACCUUUACUGCCAAAACGAGGACAUAAUUGCUGCUGGACGAAGCAUCCCAAGCACCCCCUGCAUUAUCAUGGAGUCACAUGUGAAAAGAAAAUUCGGAUUCGAAUCACCUCCCCCGUUGUGGCCCUGAGCUACACUUUCUCUUUGUUUUAUGUUUUAAACAUAAAAUACCCAAAAGAGAUGUCUCUCUCCCUGGAAUUCAUCCAAAGGUAAAGCCACACAUUGUGUUAUGUUGAGUAUACAGCAUGUUGUUGUGUUGCUAUUUUUUUAAACAGAAAAUUAUUGAAUCUUGCUUUUUACAGUGGCUCAACCAUAAGUUUAUGAAGCGACUAUUCAUAUUCUUCUGUGUGUGCCUCUCAGUGAGUUCACGUAGUGUAACAGCGCAGCGCUUCUGGGAUGUACUAUAUUCUCAUCAGUGUUUUGUUAGCUUAAACUUAAAUUUAUUUACCCCGGCCCAUUUUCUUUCACUAUAAAUUUCUAAUUUUAUUAAACGUUUCAUGUCAAAUUUCUUAGGUUUGAUAAUAUACUGUACUAGGACUGUAACAAAUCAAAUUAAAUAAUUUACACUUUUUUUGUUUGCUGUUAAGACAAUGUAAUAAAUUCAUAAUACUCUGUAAAAUAACAAAAUUCCUUUUUUUUGCCAUUGAAGUUAAACAGGCUACUUGUCCAAUUAAGCAAAAAUGUCACUUGCCCCAUCAAAAUAAUCCACCUGUCCCUGACAAGCGUUAGUGUCAAGCCCUGAUUAAAUAAGUACUCAAAGUAAGAGUUCUGUCUGCAUGUUACUCUAUUUCAGUUUUAUUCAUUUCAUCACUUGAUUAGUUAAAAAAUGUGUAUUCAUUUCUUUAAGAGUUUUCCUGGGGAUAAAUCCUGAGCGAGGGUCCAAGGCUGAGAUGAAGGGAACAAAAUCGCAACACAUUCCUCCAAAACUUUUUUGUUCCUUUGUGACUUGAACAACUUUGAAAAUCCAUGGAAAAUUUGAGUUCUUUUUUUUUUUCAUAAUGGAAGUUGGACUGAACCGCAGUUUUGCUCAAAUAGGUUCAAGUUAAAAGGUAAUAAGCACACGCAGACACAUGAACCCCUGCGUCCCACUUCAUGCUCUUCUCUUAAGGACAAAUGGCACAAACACUGGAACAUUUUAAAGGUGACAAUAGUCUUGUUAUAGACAAGUCUAGAAAUUAUUAUUAAUGAUCUUGAGGGCAACAUUGGUGUUUUGGUGUUAGUUUUUUUUUUUUUUUAUUUCAAGAUGGUUGUUAAUCUCUAAAAUUCACUUGUUUUGAAUGUUACCUGUUACCUCUCUUUGGUGUUACAUCCUGAUUUUACAGAUACAUUGUUUAAUUGUCUUUCACUCUCAAAAAGCAAAAAAAGUUGUUUUAUGUUUUAAACAUAAAAUACCCAAAAGAGAUGUCUCUCUCCCUGGAAUUCAUCCAAAGGUAAAGCCACACAUUGUGUUAUGUUGAGUAUACAGCAUGUUGUUGUGUUGCUAUUUUUUUAAACAGAAAAUUAUUGAAUCUUGCUUUUUACAGUGGCUCAACCAUAAGUUUAUGAAGCGACUAUUCAUAUUCUUCUGUGUGUGCCUCUCAGUGAGUUCACGUAGUGUAACAGCGCAGCGCUUCUGGGAUGUACUAUAUUCUCAUCAGUGUUUUGUUAGCUUAAACUUAAAUUUAUUUACCCCGGCCCAUUUUCUUUCACUAUAAAUUUCUAAUUUUAUUAAACGUUUCAUGUCAAAUUUCUUAGGUUUGAUAAUAUACUGUACUAGGACUGUAACAAAUCAAAUUAAAUAAUUUACACUUUUUUUGUUUGCUGUUAAGACAAUGUAAUAAAUUCAUAAUACUCUGUAAAAUAACAAAAUUCCUUUUUUUUUGCCAUUGAAGUUAAACAGGCUACUUGUCCAAUUAAGCAAAAAUGUCACUUGCCCCAUCAAAAUAAUCCACCUGUCCCUGACAAGCGUUAGUGUCAAGCCCUGAUUAAAUAAGUACUCAAAGUAAGAGUUCUGUCUGCAUGUUACUCUAUUUCAGUUUUAUUCAUUUCAUCACUUGAUUAGUUAAAAAAUGUGUAUUCAUUUCUUUAAGAGUUUUCCUGGGGAUAAAUCCUGAGCGAGGGUCCAAGGCUGAGAUGAAGGGAACAAAAUCGCAACACAUUCCUCCAAAACUUUUUUGUUCCUUUGUGACUUGAACAACUUUGAAAAUCCAUGGAAAAUUUGAGUUCUUUUUUUUUUUCAUAAUGGAAGUUGGACUGAACCGCAGUUUUGCUCAAAUAGGCUCAAGUUAAAAGGUAAUAAGCACACGCAGACACAUGAACCCCUGCGUCCCACUUCAUGCUCUUCUCUUAAGGACAAAUGGCACAAACACUGGAACAUUUUAAAGGUGACAAUAGUCUUGUUAUAGACAAGUCUAGAAAUUAUUAUUAAUGAUCUUGAGGGCAACAUUGGUGUUUUGGUGUUAGUUUUUUUUAUUUUUAUUUCAAGAUGGUUGUUAAUCUCUAAAAUUCACUUGUUUUGAAUGUUACCUGUUACCUCUCUUUGGUGUUACAUCCUGAUUUUACAGAUACAUUGUUUAAUUGUCUUUCACUCUCAAAAAGCAAAAAAAGUAUUUAUUUUUUUACAGUAUAGGCACUUUUUAAUAGUGCUUUGCACAUUGUUAUACAGAGAUUGAAAAGCUGCAGCUGUUUUUGUAUUACUGGUUUGUUUUUUAUUUUUUAUUUAUUUAGAAAUGGUUUUGACUUUCAAUUGGUUCUUGACCAUUUCCAUAUGAGUUUUUACUUUUUGACAGUGCACCACUACUGCUAUACACAUACAGUACAUGCUCGUUUUAAGACAUUUAAUUGUCUUUUGUUGUUUAAAGCUAAAAAAGUAUUCAACACAAGUACUCUAUUGCACAUUAAAUGAAUUGUCCUGAUUUUUUUUUUUUUUGUGAAUUCUUUUUUUAAAAUUAUUAUUAAUCUUGAUUUGAGUUAAGAUAUAUUUUUUUGUGUGUUUUUUAAAAAAGAAAAUCCAUUUGAUUUAAUAAUCUUUUGUUGUUUAAGGCAAAAAGUCAACACAAGCACUCUGCAUAUUGGUAAAUUAAUUAUUAUUAUUAUUAUACAUUUUUUGCAAUUAAUAUGCUGCAGCCCUGUUUUUGUAUACCAGACCCCCCCCCCGAUUUAUUUAAAUGAUCGGUUCUCAACUAUUUUACUUAUGAAAUGUGUAUU